RNAcentral lists this ribosomal RNA (460 nucleotides) under uncultured bacterium. RNAcentral's name for it is "partial 16S ribosomal RNA". It matches the Rfam family "Bacterial small subunit ribosomal RNA", at positions 338 to 795 of the family's 1533-position model. The record is from RNAcentral.
CCUACGGGUGGCAGCAGUGAGGAAUAUUGGUCAAUGGACGCGAGUCUGAACCAGCCAAGUAGCGUGAAGGAUGACUGCCCUCUGGGUUGUAAACUUCUUUUAUAAAGGAAUAAAACGACGCACGUGUGCCUUUUUGCAUGUACUUUAUGAAUAAAGAUCGGCUAACUCCGGGCCAGCAGCCGCGGUAAUACGGAGGAUGCGAGCGUUAUCCGGAUUUAUUGUGUUUAAAGGGAGCGUAGGUGGUUAAUUAAGUCAGCGGUGAAGGUUUGUGGCUCAACCAUAAAAUUGCCGUUGAUACUGGUUGACUUGAGUAUAUUAGAGGUGGGCGGAAUGCGAGGUGUAGCGGUGAAAUGCAUAGAUAUCACGCAGAACUCCGAUUGCGAAGGCAGCUUACUAAACUAUAACUGACACUGAAGCACGAAAGCGUGGGGAUCAAACAGGAUUAGAUACCCCUGUAGUC